Molecule: ribosomal RNA, 253 nt
Filed under: uncultured bacterium
Lineage: Bacteria
Description: partial 16S ribosomal RNA
Rfam family: Bacterial small subunit ribosomal RNA
Source: RNAcentral
UACGGGGGGGGCAAGCGUUGUUCGGAAUUACUGGGCGUAAAGGGCUCGUAGGUGGCCAACUAAGUCGGACGUGAAAUCCCUCAGCUUAACUGGGGAACUGCGUCCGAUACUGGAUGGCUCGAGUUUGGGAGAGGGAUGCGGAAUUCCAGGUGUAGCGGUGAAAUGCGUAGAUAUCAGGAGGAACACCGGUGGCGAAGGCGGCUUGCUGGGCCAGUUCUGACGCUGAGGAGCGAAAGCGUGGGGAGCGAACAGG